RNAcentral lists this ribosomal RNA (500 nucleotides) under uncultured Myrionecta. RNAcentral's name for it is "SSU rRNA". It matches the Rfam family "Eukaryotic small subunit ribosomal RNA", at positions 34 to 591 of the family's 1831-position model. The record is from RNAcentral. Lineage: Eukaryota; Ciliophora; Litostomatea; Cyclotrichida; Mesodiniidae.
AAUGGUCUAAGAUAAGCCAUGGCACGUCUAAGUACAAACUAAAUGGAUGGGUGAAACUGGCAAAUGGGCUCAUUACAACGGUUAUGAUGUACCCGGGAGUUCCGAUGGAUAUUUCCAGUAACACUAGAACUAAUACAUGUCCCUGCGUUUAUUAGUUUCGCACAGUCCGUCGCUGAGUCAUGGUAAACAGUUGAUCGACUCGACGUCCCGGAACAGUUUCCGCCCCAUCAGCUUCGAUGGUUGGGUAUUGGCCUACCAUUGCAACAACGGGUAACGAGGAAUUAGGGUUUGAUUUCGGAGAGGGAGCCUGAGAAACGGCUACCACAUCUACGGAUGGCAGCAGGCGCGCAAAUUACCCAAUGCAGACACUGUGAGGUAGUGACGAGAAAUAAUAAAGCGGGACUUCUGUUUCGCUGUUAUAAUGAGGAAUAACCAAAGGUCAUUCCGAUUAGCAACUGAUGGGAAAAGUCUGGUGCCAGCAGCCGCGGUAAUACCAGCGU